Molecule: ribosomal RNA, 492 nt
Filed under: uncultured bacterium
Lineage: Bacteria
Description: partial 16S ribosomal RNA
Rfam family: Bacterial small subunit ribosomal RNA
Source: RNAcentral
AGUGAACGCUGGCGGUAGGCCUAACACAUGCAAGUCGAACGGCAGCACAGUAAGAGCUUGCUCUUACGGGUGGCGAGUGGCGGACGGGUGAGGAAUACAUCGGAAUCUACUUUUUCGUGGGGGAUAACGUAGGUAAACUUACGCUAAUACCGCAUGCGACCUACGGGUGAAAGCAGGGGAUCUUCGGACCUUGCGCGAUUGAAUGAGCCGAUGUCGGAUUAGCUAGUUGGCGGGGUAAAGGCCCACCAAGGCGACGAUCCGUAGCUGGUCUGAGAGGAUGAUCAGCCACACUGGAACUGAGACACGGUCAAGACUCCUACGGGAGGCAGCAGUGGGGAAUAUUGGACAAUGGGCGCAAGCCUGAUCCAGCCAUACCGCGUGGGUGAAGAAGGCCUUCGGGUUGUAAAGCCCUUUUGUUGGGAAAGAAAAGCAGCAGGUUAAUACCCCGCUGUUCUGACGGUACCCAAAGAAUAAGCACCGGCUAACUUCGUG